RNAcentral lists this ribosomal RNA (466 nucleotides) under uncultured bacterium. RNAcentral's name for it is "partial 16S ribosomal RNA". It matches the Rfam family "Bacterial small subunit ribosomal RNA", at positions 31 to 507 of the family's 1533-position model. The record is from RNAcentral.
GAGGAAAGCGGGGGGCGUGCUUAACACAUGCAAGUCGAACGGAAAGGCCACAUCUUGCUUUGGUACUCGAGUGGCGAACGGGUGAGUAGCACGUAGGUGGUCUUCCCUGUACGUCGGGAUAAGCGUGGGUAACUGGGUCUAAUGCCGGGUAGGAAUCACAUGUGGGGGGGGGGGUGGAGAGUUGUUGCGGUAUGGGGUGAGCGCGCGGCCUAUGAGCUUGUGGGUGGGGUAAUGGUCUACCAAGGCGUCGACGGGUAGCCGGCCUGAGAGGGGGUACGGCAAAAUUGGGCCUGAGUUAGGGCCCAGACUCCAACGGGAGGCAGCAGGGGGGAAAAUUGACAAAUGGGCGCAAGCCGGAUGCAGCGACGCCGGGUGGGGAAUGACGGCCUUCGGGUUGGAAACGCCUUUCGCAAGGGACGAACCGAAAGUGACGGUACCUGGAGAAGAAGCACCGGCUAACUACGUG